UACGGGAGGCAGCAGUGGGGAAUAUUGCACAAUGGGCGAAAGCCUGAUGCAGCUAUGCCGCGUGUAUGAAGAAGGCCUUAGGGUUGUAAAGUACUUUCAUCGGGGAGGAAAAAACAAAACUAAUAAUUUUAUUUCUUGACGUUACCCGAAAAAGAAGCACCGGCUAACUCCGUGCCAGCAGCCGCGGUAAUACGGAGGGUGCUAGCGUUAAUCAGAAUUACUGGGCGUAAAGAGCACGUAGGUGGUUUUUUUAAGUCAGAUGUGAAAUCCCUGGGCUUAACCUAGGAACUGCAUUUUGAAACUGAAAUACUAGAGUAUCGUAGAGGGAGGUAGAAUUCUAGGUGUAGCGGUGAAAUGCGUAGAUAUCUGGAGGAAUACCUGUGGCGAAAGCGGCCUCCUAAACGAAUACUGACACUGAGGUGCGAAAAGCGUGGGGAGCAAACAGGAUUAGAUACC
This 456-nucleotide ribosomal RNA is filed under the name uncultured bacterium. Its description in RNAcentral is "bacterial SSU rRNA". It matches the Rfam family "Bacterial small subunit ribosomal RNA", at positions 340 to 786 of the family's 1533-position model. The record is from RNAcentral.